This is a long non-coding RNA of Daphnia magna, 415 nucleotides long. RefSeq lists it as uncharacterized. Lineage: Eukaryota; Metazoa; Arthropoda; Branchiopoda; Diplostraca; Daphniidae. The record is from RefSeq and is a predicted model, not a curated record. The transcript has 2 exons.
UCGCAUCUCUGAUAAGCCGAACUAUUCCUAUCCCAUCUUCCGGCGAGGUAACGAACAACAGCUCGACAAUUUCAACAAAGACCGCUGUAUGUAUCGUUUCAUCUUACCUCGGACUUUGGGCCAUAUGGGCCAACAAUUUCCGACAAAUAAGGCUGGAGCCGUUUUUGAGUUUAGCAUAACUAACGAACGCGUCACAUUGGGCAUUAGCAACAUCGUACGAAACGGUUGUUUUUUUUUCGGAACUGUUGCUUCCAUUUACUGCAACAACAUGUUUGGCUAUGUUGGAUUUCUUCGGAAAGUAUUUUAUUUUCCAUUCGGAUCUUUCUUUUAGUAUUAAAUCACGUGAUUGGUACCAGAUUACUUAUCUUGGUUAAUUGAUAUACAAAUCAAAAAUAUUAAAUUCUUGCCAAACAAA